GAGAAUUUCUAUCCAUCUCCCUUCUUCUACCUUGAUGGCUCUCACUUGGGAACAAACGAACGAACAAACAAACAAACAAACAAACAGAAGAAGAAGAAGAAGAAGAAGAAGCAGCAGAAGAAGCAGAAGAGCCCUCGGUGGAGAAAGAGAGGAAGGGCAGCAGCAGCAUGGGAACUAGCGCUGCAAUGGAACAAACUCUCUCUGCAUGGGUCCCUCCCGCUUCUCUUUUUCUCUUCCUUCCUUCCUUUCUUUCUUUCUAUCUGUUUUUCCUGUUUUUUC
RNAcentral lists this long non-coding RNA (279 nucleotides) under Physcomitrium patens. RNAcentral describes it as "long non-coding RNA (PPAT_LNC011518)". The record is from RNAcentral. Lineage: Eukaryota; Viridiplantae; Streptophyta; Bryopsida; Funariales; Funariaceae.